RNAcentral lists this ribosomal RNA (210 nucleotides) under uncultured bacterium. Its description in RNAcentral is "partial 16S ribosomal RNA". It matches the Rfam family "Bacterial small subunit ribosomal RNA", at positions 1281 to 1500 of the family's 1533-position model. The record is from RNAcentral.
CCACGUCUCAGUUCGGAUCGGAGUCUGCAACCCGACUCCGUGAAGCUGGAUUCGCUAGUAAUCGCGCAUCAGCCAUGGCGCGGUGAAUACGUUCCCGGGCCUUGUACACACCGCCCGUCAAGCCAUGGGAGCCGGGGUACCUGAAGUCCGUAACCGCGAGGAUCGGCCUAGGGUAAAACUGGUGACUGGGCUAAGUCGUAACAAGGUAUC